AUGGAACAAUGUAGGCAAGGGAAGUCGGCAAAACGGAUCCGUAACUUCGAGAAAAGGAUUGGCUCUGAGGACUGGGCUCGGGGGUCCCGGCCCCGAACCCGUCGGCUGUCGGCGGAUUGCUCGAGCUGCUCACGCGGCGAGAGCGGGUCGCCGCGUGCCGGCCGGGGGACGGACCGGGAAUCGCCCCUUCGGGGGCUUUCCCCGAGCAUGAAACAGUUGACUCAGAACUGGUACGGACAAGGGGAAUCCGACUGUUUAAUUAAAACAAAGCAUUGCGAUGGUCCUCGCGGAUGCUGA
Molecule: ribosomal RNA, 297 nt
Filed under: Triticum aestivum (bread wheat)
Lineage: Eukaryota; Viridiplantae; Streptophyta; Magnoliopsida; Poales; Poaceae
Description: partial small subunit ribosomal RNA
Rfam family: Eukaryotic large subunit ribosomal RNA
Source: RNAcentral